Molecule: long non-coding RNA, 944 nt
Filed under: Brachypodium distachyon (stiff brome)
Lineage: Eukaryota; Viridiplantae; Streptophyta; Magnoliopsida; Poales; Poaceae
Description: long non-coding RNA (BDIS_LNC005047)
Source: RNAcentral
CUCGUGCUCUUUCCAGUGGCGGCCUGGUAGCCGUGGCGAGGCGGCCCCUGGCGGUGAUCGCUGCUGCUCAUUGUGGGCGAUCAGGAACCGGCGGUGGAAGGGUUUGGGUAACGGUUGGGGCGAGAAAGAAGGAAGCGGCGUGCCGUACGACGGCGGCUGUUGCAGCUACAGGUGGCUAUCGGGCCGGGCCGGAUCGGGAUAAACGGGCCUGGCCCGGGCACGGCUCAUGAAGCCCAGCAAUAGAGGGGCCGGGCCGGCCCGAAAACAUAACCUCCAUGCCCAGGCUUGGCACCGAGCCCGGCCAGGCCGGCUUGGGCCCGUUUAGGCCCCAUGGGCCUACCUGGGCACAUGGGCCAGAUUAUUGAAAAAGAACAAAAGACAUGUUGGGUUAGGCCAGAUUAAAAAAGAAGGAAAAAUAAGGUGUGCUGGGCCAAAAUAAGAAAAAUGGUGGGGAAAAAUGGUGGGCUAGGCCAGAAUUAAGAAGGCUAAUGGGUCAAAUGUGUAAUCCUAAAAAAUAAAAAAUAUAAACGGCCUGUGCCGGGCCGGCCCGAGGGCCUGAGGCUGAAGCCCAGGCACGGCACGGACGGAGCCCGGCUCGAUUAAUUAUGUGCCGGUGUGCCGGGCCGGGCACAAACAGGCCAAGCUCGCCGGGUUACCGGGCUUUUCAAAAAAGCUCGGCCCUAUAGUCACCUAUAGUUGCGGCUGAUUUGGUGGGAUUUCGUUACUUCUUGACCUCUACUGCUAAACACACAGUUUACCCAUCACAAACCGUGCACUCAUUGUGAGCUGUCCGAUCAAUCUCUAUCAACGUUCCAGAUUGUCCCUCACCCCACACACAACAGUGAACGAAAAAACUACCCCCACCCAAAAAAAGAACCAAAUCCCGCACACUCCUCUUCGUCCAUGCUGCCGCCUCCUCUCAUCUCGAUCACCUCCUCCGCCAC